UACAGAGGUCUCGAGCGUUAGGCGGAAUCACUGGGCGUAAAGCGCGUGUAGGCGGCUCGGUAAGUCUGCUCUGAAAGUCCAAGGCUCAACCUUGGGAUGCGGGUGGAUACUGCCGGGCUCGAGUCCGGAAGAGGCGAGUGGAAUUCCUGGUGUAGCGGUGAAAUGCGCAGAUAUCAGGAGGAACACCAAUGGCGAAGGCAGCUCGCUGGGACGUGACUGACGCUGAGACGCGAAAGCGUGGGGAGCAAACAGG
This 253-nucleotide ribosomal RNA is filed under the name uncultured bacterium. RNAcentral describes it as "partial 16S ribosomal RNA". It matches the Rfam family "Bacterial small subunit ribosomal RNA", at positions 524 to 776 of the family's 1533-position model. The record is from RNAcentral.